CCCUUAGAUGUUCUGGGCUGCACGCGUGCUACACUGAUAUUGCCAAUAUGUCAUUCUUAUCCGAAAUGGAUUGGGUAAUCAAGUAAUGAAAUUUCAUGCUUGGAAUCGGUAAUUGCAAUUUUAUCGUGAACGAGGAAUUCCUAGUAAGCACUAGUCAUCAGCUAAUGUUGAUUAUGUCCCUGCCCUUUGUACACACCGCCCGUCGCUACUACUGAUUGGGUGUUCAAGUGAGAUGCUUAGACCCUUGUUGCAUGGUUCAUUAUUGUGCUCCGAAGGGAAAAAGUUUCAAGCUUGAGUGUCUAGAGGAAGUAAAAGUCGUAACA
Molecule: ribosomal RNA, 323 nt
Filed under: uncultured eukaryote
Lineage: Eukaryota
Description: partial 18S ribosomal RNA
Rfam family: Eukaryotic small subunit ribosomal RNA
Source: RNAcentral